UACGGAGAGUGCAAGCGUUGUUCGGAAUUAUUGGGCGUAAAGCGCGUGUAGGCGGUCCAACAAGUCUGGCGUGAAAGCCUUGAGCUCAACUCAAGAAGUGCGCUGGAAACUGUCGGACUUGAGUACUGGAGGGGGAGGUGGAAUUCUCGAGUGUAGAGGUGAAAUUCGUAGAUAUUCGGAAGAACAUCAGUGGCGAAGGCGACCUCCUGGACAGAUACUGACGCUGAGACGCGAAAGCGUGGGUAGCAAACAGGAUUAGAUACCCUGGUAGUCCACGCUGUAAACGAUGGAUGCUAGUUGUCGCGGGUAACCAACCCUGCGGUAACGAAGCUAACGCGAUAAGCAUCCCGCCUGGGGAUUACGGCCGCAAGGCUA
This 375-nucleotide ribosomal RNA is filed under the name uncultured prokaryote. RNAcentral describes it as "bacterial SSU rRNA". It matches the Rfam family "Bacterial small subunit ribosomal RNA", at positions 524 to 896 of the family's 1533-position model. The record is from RNAcentral.